This 481-nucleotide ribosomal RNA is filed under the name uncultured bacterium. Its description in RNAcentral is "partial 16S ribosomal RNA". It matches the Rfam family "Bacterial small subunit ribosomal RNA", at positions 30 to 506 of the family's 1533-position model. The record is from RNAcentral.
AUUGAACGCUGGCGGCAUGCCUUACACAUGCAAGUCGAACGGUAACGGGCCUUCGGGUGCCGACGAGUGGCGAACGGGUGAGUAAUACAUCGGAACGUGCCCGAUCGUGGGGGAUAACGAGGCGAAAGCUUUGCUAAUACCGCACACGAUCUACGGAUGAAAGCAGGGGACCGCAAGGCCUUGCGCGGACGGAGCGGCCGAUGGCAGAUUAGGUAGUUGGUGGGAUAAAAGCUUACCAAGCCGACGAUCUGUAGCUGGUCUGAGAGGAUGAUCAGCCACACUGGGACUGAGACACGGCCCAGACUCCUACGGGAGGCAGCAGUGGGGAAUUUUGGACAAUGGGCGCAAGCCUGAUCCAGCCAUGCCGCGUGCAGGAUGAAGGCCUUCGGGUUGUAAACUGCUUUUGUACGGAACGAAAAGCCUUCUUUUAAUACAGGAGGGUCAUGACGGUACCGUAAGAAUAAGCACCGGCUAACUACGU